GCGUAACGCGUGGGAAUCUGCCCUUGGGUUCGGAAUAACAGUUGGAAACGACUGCUAAUACCGGAUGAUGACGAAAGUCCAAAGAUUUAUCGCCCAGGGGUGAGCCCGCGUAGGAUUAGCUAGUUGGUGAGGUAAAGGCUCACCAAGGCGACGAUCCUUAGCUGGUCUGAGAGGAUGAUCAGCCACACUGGGACUGAGACACGGCCCAGACUCCUACGGGAGGCAGCAGUAGGGAAUAUUGGACAAUGGGGGCAACCCUGAUCCAGCAAUGCCGCGUGAGUGAUGAAGGCCUUAGGGUUGUAA
RNAcentral lists this ribosomal RNA (303 nucleotides) under uncultured Sphingomonas sp. RNAcentral describes it as "bacterial SSU rRNA". It matches the Rfam family "Bacterial small subunit ribosomal RNA", at positions 108 to 428 of the family's 1533-position model. The record is from RNAcentral. Lineage: Bacteria; Pseudomonadati; Pseudomonadota; Alphaproteobacteria; Sphingomonadales; Sphingomonadaceae.